GGAUGCGAGCGUUAUCCGGAUUAUUGGGUUUAAAGGGUGCGUAGGCGGAAGAUUAAGCAGCGGUUAAACUGCGGAGCUCAACUCCGUAUCGCCGUUGAAACUGGUUUUCUAGAGUGGUGAGAAGUAUGCGGAAUGCGUGGUGUAGCGGUGAAAUGCAUAGAUAUCACGCAGAACUCCAUUGCGAAGGCAGCAUACCGGCACCCAACUGACGCUGAAGCACGAAAGCGUGGGUAUCGACAGGAUUAGAUACCCUGGUAGUCCACGCAGUAAACGAUGAAUACUAAUUGUUUGGCAAAAUGAUUGCUGAGUGAUACAGCGAAAGCGUUAAGUAUUCCACCUGGGGAGUACGCCGGCAACGUGAAACUCAAAGGAAUUGACGGGGGCCCGCACAAGCGGAGGAACAUGUGGUUUAAUUCGUGAUACGCGAGGAACCUUACCCGGGCUCAAACGACAGGGGAAUAUGUCCGAAAGGAUAUACUAGCAAUAGUCGCUGUCGAGGUGCUGCAUGGUUGUCGUCAGCUCGUGCCGUGAGGUGUCGCUUAAGUGCCAUAACGAGCGCAACCCCUAUUGAUAGUUGCUAACAGGUCAAGCUGAGGAUCUAUCGAGACUGCCGGCGCAAGCUGUGAGGAAGGCGGGGAUGACGUCAAAUCAGCACGGCCUUACGUCCGGGGCGACACACGUGUUACAAUGGCAGGUACAGCGGGAAGCCAGGUGGUGCACCGAGCAGAACCCGAAAACCUGUCUCAGUUCGGAUUGGAGUCUGCAACUCGACUCCAUAAGCUGGAUUCGCUAGUAAUCGCGCAUCAGCCAUGGCGCGGUGAAUACGUUCCCGGGCCUGCACACACCGCCCU
Molecule: ribosomal RNA, 851 nt
Filed under: uncultured bacterium
Lineage: Bacteria
Description: bacterial SSU rRNA
Rfam family: Bacterial small subunit ribosomal RNA
Source: RNAcentral